This 27-nucleotide non-coding RNA is filed under the name Rattus norvegicus (Norway rat). The record is from RNAcentral. Lineage: Eukaryota; Metazoa; Chordata; Mammalia; Rodentia; Muridae.
UACUCAUCUUUAUGCGGGUUGCUAGGU